GGGGAUUUAGCUCAGUGGUAGAGCACUUGCCUACCAAGCACAAGGCCCUGGGUUCGGUCCCCAGCUCCA
Rattus norvegicus (Norway rat) is the source of this 69-nucleotide non-coding RNA. The record is from Rfam. Lineage: Eukaryota; Metazoa; Chordata; Mammalia; Rodentia; Muridae.